This 525-nucleotide ribosomal RNA is filed under the name uncultured bacterium. RNAcentral describes it as "bacterial SSU rRNA". It matches the Rfam family "Bacterial small subunit ribosomal RNA", at positions 778 to 1301 of the family's 1533-position model. The record is from RNAcentral.
AAUGAUACCCAGGUAGUCCACGCCGUAAACGAUGAGUGCUAAGUGUUAGAGGGUUUCCGCCCUUUAGUGCUGCAGCUAACGCAUUAAGCACUCCGCCUGGGGAGUACGGCCGCAAGGCUGAAACUCAAAGGAAUUGACGGGGGCCCGCACAAGCGGUGGAGCAUGUGGUUUAAUUCGAAGCAACGCGAAGAACCUUACCAGGUCUUGACAUCCUCUGCCAACCCUAGAGAUAGGGCGUCCCCCUUCGGGGGACAGAGUGACAGGUGGUGCAUGGUUGUCGUCAGCUCGUGUCGUGAGAUGUUGGGUUAAGUCCCGCAACGAGCGCAACCCUUGAUCUUAGUUGCCAGCAUUCAGUUGGGCACUCUAAGGUGACUGCCGGUGACAAACCGGAGGAAGGUGGGGAUGACGUCAAAUCAUCAUGCCCCUUAUGACCUGGGCUACACACGUGCUACAAUGGAUGGUACAAAGAGCUGCGAACCCGCGAGGGUAAGCCAAUCUCAUAAAGCCAUUCUCAGUUCGGAUUGU